Molecule: ribosomal RNA, 1791 nt
Filed under: Staphylococcus aureus
Lineage: Bacteria; Bacillati; Bacillota; Bacilli; Caryophanales; Staphylococcaceae
Description: partial 23S ribosomal RNA
Rfam family: Bacterial large subunit ribosomal RNA
Source: RNAcentral
CGUGUGCUUACAAGUAGUCAGAGCCCGUUAAUGGGUGAUGGCGUGCCUUUUGUAGAAUGAACCGGCGAGUUACGAUUUGAUGCAAGGUUAAGCAGUAAAUGUGGAGCCGUAGCGAAAGCGAGUCUGAAUAGGGCGUUUAGUAUUUGGUCGUAGACCCGAAACCAGGUGAUCUACCCUUGGUCAGGUUGAAGUUCAGGUAACACUGAAUGGAGGACCGAACCGACUUACGUUGAAAAGUGAGCGGAUGAACUGAGGGUAGCGGAGAAAUUCCAAUCGAACCUGGAGAUAGCUGGUUCUCUCCGAAAUAGCUUUAGGGCUAGCCUCAAGUGAUGAUUAUUGGAGGUAGAGCACUGUUUGGACGAGGGGCCCCUCUCGGGUUACCGAAUUCAGACAAACUCCGAAUGCCAAUUAAUUUAACUUGGGAGUCAGAACAUGGGUGAUAAGGUCCGUGUUCGAAAGGGAAACAGCCCAGACCACCAGCUAAGGUCCCAAAAUAUAUGUUAAGUGGAAAAGGAUGUGGCGUUGCCCAGACAACUAGGAUGUUGGCUUAGAAGCAGCCAUCAUUUAAAGAGUGCGUAAUAGCUCACUAGUCGAGUGACACUGCGCCGAAAAUGUACCGGGGCUAAACAUAUUACCGAAGCUGUGGAUUGUCCUUUGGACAAUGGUAGGAGAGCGUUCUAAGGGCGUUGAAGCAUGAUCGUAAGGACAUGUGGAGCGCUUAGAAGUGAGAAUGCCGGUGUGAGUAGCGAAAGACGGGUGAGAAUCCCGUCCACCGAUUGACUAAGGUUUCCAGAGGAAGGCUCGUCCGCUCUGGGUUAGUCGGGUCCUAAGCUGAGGCCGACAGGCGUAGGCGAUGGAUAACAGGUUGAUAUUCCUGUACCACCUAUAAUCGUUUUAAUCGAUGGGGGGACGCAGUAGGAUAGGCGAAGCGUGCGAUUGGAUUGCACGUCUAAGCAGUAAGGCUGAGUAUUAGGCAAAUCCGGUACUCGUUAAGGCUGAGCUGUGAUGGGGAGAAGACAUUGAGUCUUCGAGUCGUUGAUUUCACACUGCCGAGAAAAGCCUCUAGAUAGAAAAUAGGUGCCCGUACCGCAAACCGACACAGGUAGUCAAGAUGAGAAUUCUAAGGUGAGCGAGCGAACUCUCGUUAAGGAACUCGGCAAAAUGACCCCGUAACUUCGGGAGAAGGGGUGCUCUUUAGGGUUAACGCCCAGAAGAGCCGCAGUGAAUAGGCCCAAGCGACUGUUUAUCAAAAACACAGGUCUCUGCUAAACCGUAAGGUGAUGUAUAGGGGCUGACGCCUGCCCGGUGCUGGAAGGUUAAGAGGAGUGGUUAGCUUCUGCGAAGCUACGAAUCGAAGCCCCAGUAAACGGCGGCCGUAACUAUAACGGUCCUAAGGUAGCGAAAUUCCUUGUCGGGUAAGUUCCGACCCGCACGAAAGGCGUAACGAUUUGGGCACUGUCUCAACGAGAGACUCGGUGAAAUCAUAGUACCUGUGAAGAUGCAGGUUACCCGCGACAGGACGGAAAGACCCCGUGGAGCUUUACUGUAGCCUGAUAUUGAAAUUCGGCACAGCUUGUACAGGAUAGGUAGGAGCCUUUGAAACGUGAGCGCUAGCUUACGUGGAGGCGCUGGUGGGAUACUACCCUAGCUGUGUUGGCUUUCUAACCCGCACCACUUAUCGUGGUGGGAGACAGUGUCAGGCGGGCAGUUUGACUGGGGCGGUCGCCUCCUAAAAGGUAACGGAGGCGCUCAAAGGUUCCCUCAGAAUGGUUGGAAAUCAUUCAUAGAGUG